This 71-nucleotide transfer RNA is filed under the name Haramonas pauciplastida. Its description in RNAcentral is "tRNA-Gly". It matches the Rfam family "tRNA". Rfam says of the family: Transfer RNA (tRNA) molecules are approximately 80 nucleotides in length. Their secondary structure includes four short double-helical elements and three loops (D, anti-codon, and T loops). Further hydrogen bonds mediate the characteristic L-shaped molecular structure. tRNAs have two regions of fundamental functional importance: the anti-codon, which is responsible for specific mRNA codon recognition, and the 3' end, to which the tRNAs corresponding amino acid is attached (by aminoacyl-tRNA synthetases). tRNAs cope with the degeneracy of the genetic code in two manners: having more than one tRNA (with a specific anti-codon) for a particular amino acid; and 'wobble' base-pairing, i.e. permitting non-standard base-pairing at the 3rd anti-codon position. Lineage: Eukaryota; Raphidophyceae. The record is from RNAcentral.
GCAGACAUAGUUUAGUGGUAAAACCUCAGCCUUCCAAGCUGAUGAUGUGGGUUCGAUUCCCAUUGCCUGCU